UCAUCAGAGAGGCUGGGCUCU
RNAcentral lists this microRNA (21 nucleotides) under Gallus gallus (chicken). RNAcentral describes it as "gga-miR-12223-3p". The record is from miRBase by way of RNAcentral. Lineage: Eukaryota; Metazoa; Chordata; Aves; Galliformes; Phasianidae.